AGGUCAUUUGGCCAUUUCACAACAGAGGCCAUUCGGCCGAUGAGGAUAUGCUGCCAAUUUCAGCCCCAAAAUCCCUAAUAUAACUCCGAUCUCGAUGGAGGAAGUAGGGACUUCGAUGGCGCGUUCGCAAAGCCACAACAAAAGAGAAAAAAAAAUACAAAGUUUUUUGGUUGGUUUUUGCUCUUGCUGCUGUGUUUGUCUGUUUCUUCGCAAGUAUGGAGGCUAGUUGGCGCUGUGGUAUGUGGCGCUUGGCGUGGGGUGGUGCGUGAAGGCCGUAUGGAAGCGCUGGAGGCUGUAUGAGGGUUGGGAGGCCAGCUGGGCGCAAGGGAAACCCUAGUUUCUAUUUCUAAAAUAUUUUGGGCCAUUUGGGCUUUGAAUUUUUGGGCUGGGUAGUUGGGUUUAGAAUUGGGUUAUUGUAAAUGGGUUUGGACUUUGUUGGGCCAUUGAAAUUUGGCAGAUUUGGGCUGAUGUAAUAAAGGGACUUGGACUAAAAAAA
Long non-coding RNA from Gossypium arboreum, 496 nucleotides. RefSeq lists it as uncharacterized. The transcript is spliced from 2 exons. The record is from RefSeq and is a predicted model, not a curated record. Lineage: Eukaryota; Viridiplantae; Streptophyta; Magnoliopsida; Malvales; Malvaceae.